UAGACUAGUAAAAUUUGCUAUUUAAACAUUCUUGUUUCAGUAGAUCUAUACAACCAUAUAGAAUAAUAUAGAUCUAGUCUUAUAGAGUAAUAGACUAGAUCUAGAAUCUAAAUCUAGUUGUAAAACCUAUUUCAAAGAAUAUAAUGAUAAGAUAGUAAUAAUAGGUAGAUCUACUACUACUACUCUGAAAAACACAAAGAUAAAGGCACAUUCCUCGUCCCAUAUGCUAGGACAAAUUUGUACAAAUACUCCUUCUUUCCUAGUGCUAUUAGAGCAUGGAAUGGGUUGCCUGAGCUAGCCAGGAAAACCAGUGACUUGGCAGAAUUUAAGUCAUUGGUUAAUAUGCAUGACUAAAUGCAUGGCGCGUAGGACGUAAUCAUCUUCUUUUUUGAAGUAACGUCUGUAUUAUAUAAGAUAAGAUUGUACUACUUCUGCGACAUCUGGCAACACUUUGGCAACAGGGUUCAUCACAUGUAAUUUUCCACAUGGCUGGAGUGGCUAUAUUCCAUCUGCAGCUGCUAAGACACAACAAUAAUGAUGUGAGUCAUCAUUCUUCAGCUGCAAGCCCUAGAGACUAUAUAUAUAUUUGAUAUGGAAGGUUAUUACAGGCCCAUGGAUGAAACUAGUGUAUGGCAAUGAAUUGCAGAAAUAUAAUCUUGAACUAGUACCAAUGUUCCAGAUUUGCUGUCAAAGAAUUACUCAGAUGAAAAAUAGUCCCAGUAACUUGUUGACUACAGAUCUAGAUAUUUUUGGGGAAAAAAUUGUGUUUGAUGAGGUGCACAAGUCAUUGCUGAAAACCAGUGACAUAAGAAUGCUUUUAAACAAAUUAACAUCAACUCUUCUGAGUUCUAUUGAGUCUGUGAUUCAGAGACAAAUGCAAAAUUAUUUAUCUGGGCCUCUGUCAAACCCCACUGAGAAAAUAUUACAGGAUAUACUAUCAGCACCUGCCAACAAUAUGCAUGCAGAACAUUUUACUUCGAAAAGCCCCCUCUGCGACUAUUGGCUAUCUGGAUUCAAAAGUUAAAGCAAAACUAAAUCACACUCUUGAGUGGAUUGAAUCCAAACCAGAGGAUUUUCAAAGAAAAAUAUUACAAUUUUCUAGCACUAGAGGAGCACAGAUCCGAAAAGCAGGAGUGCUUGAAAAUAAAGAGAUUGAUGACAACAUUAAAUUAAGACGGAUUCAAGCAUCUCAGAAGGCUAACAAUGCAUCCAGGAAGAAAUUGGAACAAGACAUUAAAAACGUCAUACUAAAUAAUGUCUCUGCAGACAAUGAAUUGUUUACAAAAGUUGUCCCAAGCCAGAAAGCUUUCCUAGAAAUUUUUAAGCGGUCAAAGUAUGACAGAUCACUUAUUUAACCAUAAAUGGGAACUAGACAAUGGACAGGACAAAAUAUUUUAUGGACAAAUACUAACAGAAAGACAAAAAGAUUAGAAGACUGUGUAUGUUACAUCUUACUGGGGUUUUGAGGAGGACUCAUCAGAGCAGGACAACAUUUUUAUGGAGUCAAUUAUUGCUGACAUGAUACUUGGUGAUCUAUUUUUUUGAAGUUUAGUUGAUAAUUAUUGUUUAUGCAUAAUUUUUUAAAUUGUUGUUCUUGUUCCUUUGCUUCUUAUAAAUUCAAAUUCUUCUUUUGAAACUGUUCAUUUUGAUAUAUACUUUUCUGUGUGUAUUCUUUAAAAAAUUGGGGAAAUGUUAUUUACUUUAAAAAAUCAUAAUUUUUUUUUCUCAUUUGCAUAAUUUAUGUAGAAUAUUUUUUUUUAUAUUUCAUUUAAUUUUUCGUUACAACUUGUACAGAUAAAUUCCUCUUUUGAAACUGUUCAUUUUGAUCUAUACUUUUGUAUGUGUAUUAAAAACUUCUGAAAUAUUAUUAUUUAUGAAAAAAAAAUCAUCAAGACGUUUUUUUCUCAUUUGCAUAAUUUUAUGUAUAAUUUUUUUUUUUAUUUCAUUUCAUUUAUCAUUGCAACUUGUACAGAUUAAUUCCUCUUUUGAAAAAGUUCAUUUUGAUAUAAACUUUAAUUCUAUGUUUAUUCUUAAAAACCUCUGAAAUAUUCAAAGAUCAUGUCGAUAAACAAAGAAUUUAAAAUUUGUGGUGCAGUUGAAUCAGACAUACUGAGCAUCCACUGUAUAUUCAUAUGCUUAUCAGUUAUGUAAUGAUCAUAAAUUCCACUUUUUUUUCUAAUUCUUUUCAUUGGGUCGCAGUCAUCAUUUGACAUAUUUCAAGUGUGUUAACUUUGAUAGAGUCUAUAGACUCAAGUCCCUUGUGAUAAUUAGCUAUACAUGAGUUAAUAAAUUAUAAAAAUAAUUAUACAUAAUAAAUAAUGAUAUCCUAGAGGUAAACAUAACAUGCUAUGAUAUAACACUUGUUCCUAAUAACAAAUUAUAUGAUUCUAAUGUCACUGAAACUCAAUCAUGUUUUUGUCUAAUUCAUUUAUUUACUAUCGGAAAUCAGGUUUUCAUCUUGAUUCUUAAUGAUGACUUUGUAAACUGUUGAUAUUGCUUUAAGACCCUAAAUAAAAUAAUAUAAAUAUUUAUACUUAUUAUAAUAUUUUUUUCACAUAACCAUACAUCUAUGAUAUUAUGUUUUGCUAAUAUAACAAAUAUUGUUCUAAGCAAUCAGUUAAAAUACUAUAGUAAAGGAUAACUGCAAAAGUAAAACAAAACAAAAAAAUUAUUGGCAGAAUUUAAGUCAUUGGUUAACAUGGAUGACUAGAUACAUGACGUUUAGGACAUAAUCAUCAUCUUUUUUGAAGUAACGUCAGUAUUUUAUAUCAUUGAUAAGACAAGAAGUGUCUCUAGGCUUGGUGAAUAUGCAGUAAAAUAUUACAAUUCAUUUUUUUAAAUCUAUUUUGCUUGUGUUCUAGUUUCUUUGCCUUAGCUGACAAAGUGCCACAUCAUUGUCUGAUAGUUAGUGACAUUUAUUGGCUGUGGAGCACGAGAAACACUUGUUUGUGAAGAGUAUGAUGUUGAACGGGGAAAUCAAGGGGCCACAGUUGCAUUGUGGAAAAAGAAAAUCUCGUUUUCGAGAGCUGACCACAUGGUCAAGGGGCAGUCAAAGCCAUGAGUAUUACAGAGGACAGACGUGUUAGGUCUGUAGAAUAGAAAGCUUUACUAAUUGUAUUUUUGAUAUUUUCUUGGGAUUAUAAUUGAUUUCUGUGUACUUGAUUCCAUGUGAUUUAUGCAAUUUAUUGAUGGCUGAAGUUGCCAAUUUAUUGUGAACUGUUAUUUCAUUUAUUAAACAUGAUGUCUGCUAA
Molecule: long non-coding RNA, 3251 nt
Organism: Biomphalaria glabrata
Lineage: Eukaryota; Metazoa; Mollusca; Gastropoda; Planorbidae
Exons: 3
Source: RefSeq, a predicted model, not a curated record